UUGCAACCUGGUUGAUCCUGCCAGUAGUCAUAUGCUUGUCUCAAAGAUUAAGCCAUGCAUGUAUAAGUACAGCUAAACUAAAGUGAAACCGCGAAAGGCUCAUUAAAUCAGUUUUGGUUCAGUUGACCACACGUUUCCUACUUGGAUAACUGUGGUAAUUCUAGAGCUAAUACAUGCUAACAGAGCUCCGACCAGUAAUGGGAAGAGCGCUUUUAUUAGUAAUAAAAACCUAUGGUACUUGUACCUUAUAAUAUAGACGAAACAAAGUAACUGCCUGAUCGCACGGUCAAGCACCGGCGACAUGUCUUUCAAAUGACUGCCUUAUCAACUAAAGUUGGUAGUUUUUACGCCUACCACGGUUGUUACGGGUAACGGGGAAUCAGGGUUCGAUUCCGGAGAGGGAGCCUGAGAAACGGCUACCACAUCUAAGGAAGGCAGCAGGCACGCAAAUUACCCAUUCCCAGCACGGGGAGGUAGUGACGAAAAAUAACGAUACGGGACUCAUCCGAGGCCCCGUAAUCGGAAUGAGUACACUUUAAAUCCUUUAACAAGGAUCUACUGGAGGGCAAGUCUGGUGCCAGCAGCCGCGGUAACCCCAGCUCCAGUAGCGUAUAUUAAAGUUGCUGCGGUUAAAAAGCUCGUAGUCAGACCUGUGACUCGCUCCAUCGGUGAAUCGCAUGCGGUUCGCUGAUGUGCUGCGGGGCGUCCAGUCGGAUGGUCUGUGCUGAGUGUGCGCCUCACGGCGUGCACGAUGCGCUUACCGCAUUAUGACCUGUCACGGUGCUCUUAACUGAGUGUCGAGGUGGGCCGGCACUAUUACUUUGAAUAAAUUAGAGUGCUUAAAGCAGGCUAUUGCUUGUAUAUAUGUGCAUAGGAUAAUAAAAUAUGAAUUCGCAUUCAUGUGGGUUAUGAACUCGCGAGUUAAUGAUUAACAGAGUAGGGUGAGGAUACUCGUACUGAGACGUUAGAGGUGAAAUUCUUGGAUCGUCUCAAGACGAACAGAGGCAAUUGCGCUUAUCAUGUACUUACUCGUUAAUCAAGAACGAAAGUUAGAGGUUCGAAGGCGAUCAGAUACCGCCCUAGUUCUAACCAUAAACUAUGCCAGCUUGCGAUCCGUCGAUGUUCCUCCGAUGACUCGACGGGCAGCAUACGGGAAACCAAAGCUUUUGGGUUCCGGGGGAAGUAUGGUUGCAAAACUGAAACUUAAAGGAAUUGACGGAAGGGCACCACCAGGAGUGGAGCCUGCGGCUUAAUUUGACUCAACACGGGAAAACUCACCAGGCCCAGACACUGUUAUGAUUGACAGAUUCAGAGCUCUUUCUUGAUUCAGUGGGUGGUGGUGCAUGGCCGUUCUUAGUUGGUGGAGUGAUUUGUCUGCUUAAUUGCGAUAACGAACGAGACUCUAUCCUACUAAAUAGACGCAUUUACUGCAUCUCAAAGGCUCAAUGCCCGUGUGGUCGCCUCGCGGUGGCCGCGCGGUGCAUGCGAGUUUUUACUGCAGGCGUUUAAACAUAUCUUCUUAGAGGUACAAGCGGCUUAUAGCCGCACGAGAUUGAGCAAUAACAGGUCUGUGAUGCCCUUAGAUGUUCUGGGCCGCACGCGCGCUACACUGAAGAAGACAACGUGUUUUCCUGGUCCGAAAGGAUUGGGUAACCCGCUGAAACUUCUUCGUGCUAGGGAUUGGGGCUUGCAAUUGUUCCCCAUGAACGAGGAAUUCCCAGUAAGCGUAAGUCAUAAGCUUGCGUUGAUUAAGUCCCUGCCCUUUGUACACACCGCCCGUCGCUACUACCGAUUGAAUGAUUUAGUGAGGUUUUAGGAUUGGCUCACGAGAACGCUUCGGCGGAAUCGUUGCAUGCUAAAAAUAUGUCCGAA
This 1872-nucleotide ribosomal RNA is filed under the name Agathidium sp. BMNH724212. Its description in RNAcentral is "SSU rRNA". It matches the Rfam family "Eukaryotic small subunit ribosomal RNA". The record is from RNAcentral. Lineage: Eukaryota; Metazoa; Arthropoda; Insecta; Coleoptera; Leiodidae.